Ribosomal RNA from Petromyzon marinus (sea lamprey), 119 nucleotides. Lineage: Eukaryota; Metazoa; Chordata; Hyperoartia; Petromyzontiformes; Petromyzontidae. The record is from Ensembl.
GCCUACGACCAUAUCACCCUGAAUGCGCCCGAUCUCGUCUGAUCUCGGAAGCUAAGCAUGGUCGAGCCUGAUUAGAACUUGGAUGGGAGACUGCCUGGGAAUACCAGGUGUUGUAGGCU